GCCAUGGCUCAAUAGUAGAGCAUCUGCUUGGCUUGCAGAAAGUUUCAGGUUCAAUCCCUGGUAUCUCUA
RNAcentral lists this transfer RNA (69 nucleotides) under Sphaerodactylus townsendi. RNAcentral's name for it is "tRNA-Ala". It matches the Rfam family "tRNA". Rfam says of the family: Transfer RNA (tRNA) molecules are approximately 80 nucleotides in length. Their secondary structure includes four short double-helical elements and three loops (D, anti-codon, and T loops). Further hydrogen bonds mediate the characteristic L-shaped molecular structure. tRNAs have two regions of fundamental functional importance: the anti-codon, which is responsible for specific mRNA codon recognition, and the 3' end, to which the tRNAs corresponding amino acid is attached (by aminoacyl-tRNA synthetases). tRNAs cope with the degeneracy of the genetic code in two manners: having more than one tRNA (with a specific anti-codon) for a particular amino acid; and 'wobble' base-pairing, i.e. permitting non-standard base-pairing at the 3rd anti-codon position. The record is from RNAcentral. Lineage: Eukaryota; Metazoa; Chordata; Lepidosauria; Squamata; Sphaerodactylidae.